RNAcentral lists this ribosomal RNA (450 nucleotides) under uncultured bacterium. RNAcentral's name for it is "partial 16S ribosomal RNA". It matches the Rfam family "Bacterial small subunit ribosomal RNA", at positions 354 to 796 of the family's 1533-position model. The record is from RNAcentral.
GCUAAGAAUAUUCCGCAAUGGACGAAAGUCUGACGGAGCGACGCCGCGUGGAUGACGAAGGCCGAAAGGUUGUAAAGUCCUUUUGUCGAUGAAGAAUAAGUGCGGUAGGGAAUGACCGUAUGAUGACGUUAGUCGGCGAAUAAGCCCCGGCUAAUUACGUGCCAGCAGCCGCGGUAACACGUAAGGGGCAAGCGUUGUUCGGAAUUAUUGGGCGUAAAGGGUACGUAGGCGGUUAUGUAAGCCCGGCGUGAAAUCCUGCAGCUUAACUGUAGAGCUGCGCUGGGAACUACAAAACUCGAGUCAUGGAAGGGAAGUUAGAAUUCCAGGUGUAGGGGUGAAAUCUGUAGAUAUCUGGAAGAAUACCGGUGGCGAAGGCGAACUUCUGGCCAAUGACUGACGCUGAGGUACGAAAGUGCGGGGAGCAAACAGGAUUAGAUACCCGAGUAGUCC